RNA transcript from Cucumis melo (muskmelon), 915 nucleotides. RefSeq lists it as uncharacterized. The record is from RefSeq and is a predicted model, not a curated record. The transcript has 2 exons. Lineage: Eukaryota; Viridiplantae; Streptophyta; Magnoliopsida; Cucurbitales; Cucurbitaceae.
GUAGCCACCUAGCAUUUUACUUUAUAGAGCAAAAAAAAGGAAGAAGUAUAAGAUGUAAGGAAGUUGGAUCUGGUACUUCACUGUCCGCCUCUUCGAAGCUCGCAAAUGGCAUAUUCUCCAUUCAUUCCCCCUCUUCCCUCUUCCUCUUCUGGGCUUUCACCUUUCUCCAAAAGCCAUUUUUCUUCCUCUUUCCUUUAUAUAUAUAUAUAUUUAUAUAUUUAUAUAUUUUGCCCUAAUAUUCGCAUCAUUCAACAACUUGGGUCUCCCUUUUGAUUUCCUAUCCUCGCUUUCUCCGCUGCCUUUCUCUUUCUGAGCAGAAAUGUCAACCCUGUCAACUGCAAAGCUCCCUACCCACUUCAUGUACAACACGCAAUCUAAAAAUCAACUUGGUAGCACCAUCAUCAAGUGUCCAUCGUCAAUUGGAUCUACGAGAAACAUUUGGAAAUCCUUUGGCUUGAAUUCACGUCCCUCAUUCAGAGCCCGUGCAAUGGCAGUUUUCAAAAUUAAACUUGUCGAACCAUGUGGGAAAGAGCAUGAGUUUGAGGCAUCUGAUGAUACGUACAUUCUUGAUGCAGCUGAAGAAGCGGGAGUAGACUUACCUUAUUCUUGCAGGGCAGGUGCGUGUUCUACGUGUGCUGGGAAAAUAGUUUCGGGUUCGGUCAAUCAAUCAGACGGGUCGUUCCUUGACGAUGAUCAAAUGGCAAAGGGUUACUUGUUAACCUGUGUAUCACUCCCAACUGCAGAUUGUGUGAUUCACACACACAAGGAAGAAGAACUGAUCUGAGUACGAUAGUUUGAAUGAUACAGAGUGUUUUCUUGUUUCAUGGUUUUCAUUUGUAAUGUCAUAUUAUUAAAAAAAAAAAAAAAAAAAUAAAUCAAAUGUGUGAACUUUCUCGUCAUGCAUUUUCCUUGUUA